Molecule: ribosomal RNA, 404 nt
Filed under: uncultured bacterium
Lineage: Bacteria
Description: partial 16S ribosomal RNA
Rfam family: Bacterial small subunit ribosomal RNA
Source: RNAcentral
AUUGAACGCUGGGCAGGCCUAACACAUGCAAGUCGAACGAGUGGCGGACGGGUGAGUAAUGUCUGGGAAACUGCCUGAUGGAGGGGGAUAACUACUGGAAACGGUAGCUAAUACCGCAUACCAUCAGAUGUGCCCAGAUGGGAUUAGCUUGUUGGUGGGGUAACGGCUUACCAAGGCGACGAUCCCUAGCUGGUCUGUGAGGAUGACCAGCCACGCUGGAACUGAGAAACGGUCCAGACUCCUACGGGAGGCAGCAGUGGGAAAUAUUGCACAAUGGGCGAAAGCUGAAUGCAGCCAUGCCGCGUGUAUGAAGAAGGCCUUAGGGUUGUAAAGUACUUUCAGCGGGGAGGCGUUACCCGCAGAAGAAGCACCGGCUAACUCCGUGCCAGCAGCCGCGGUAAUAC